Long non-coding RNA from Apis mellifera (honey bee), 5835 nucleotides. RefSeq lists it as uncharacterized. NCBI's taxonomy places the organism in Eukaryota, Metazoa, Arthropoda, Insecta, Hymenoptera, Apidae. The record is from RefSeq and is a predicted model, not a curated record. The transcript has 3 exons.
CUUUCACGACCGCGGUCGCGGUGCACCAGCCACGUGUACGUGUACUGGAGAAUUGCGAAAAUCCUUGCAACCACUUCCAAAUAUAGCGUUGCGCGCACUCCGUAUCUCCGUCACGGUGACUUCUCGUCUCGAACGGAAUCUCAACUCGAACGCGUGAUAUUUGCCACAAGUCGCGAAAGUCGUGAAAAAUUUGUACAAGUUUCGCGAGUUUGCUUCCUCUGCGGAAAAGGCGGCCAUGACACUUCGACUUAGCGCGACCCUUCUUACCGACACGGAUUAUUUUACCAACGCGCAUGCGCAGGCUUCAACGACUGCUAUUUAAUUGCAAUACGAGUUACGCGUCAAACUUUCACGCGGCUGACGUCAUUGGCAUAACGCCGAAACGAAGAGCCUUGAACGAGCCAAUGGAGAUUCCGGGCCCGAAGUUUCGUUAUCGCGCAUAAGUGCAUUCGUCAUCGAUCUAGUCAUAGUCUCUUCCACGAGAGUUCCACCUGGCCUACAUACUUGGACAAUUACGUAUUCGUUGCUGUCGUCGUUGCGAGUGUGGCGAGUGUCGUGGAUGAUUUCGAAAAUUCCCGUUAAUUAACGCGUACGAGAGGUAAACGCGAAUGUUAUGGAGACGAACGGCCUUCCAAUCCAAGCGAGUGAGCGUGUUCAUCGAGAAGCUUCGCGAACACAAUACCCGAUCGAUUGACCCGCAUUGCGUUACAAGGGCCAUGCACAGCUGGUCCUGAUGUUUACAGUCAUGUACUGUGUGCAUCGUAUAGCAUCGAAUCUGGGACAGAGAGAAAGAGAGAGAGAAAGAGAGAGAAAGGAUACCGGUAAAGCGAUAUCGCCGGACUAUAUCGACCGCGGUUGCUGUAAGUGGUUCGAGAGACACGAAUUCGCCCUUGGGAUUCCUGUGAGGCGUGGGUGAUCGGCUUUGUCGAGCGCCGAUCAGAGAACGGUUUAUUCCAUUCCUUUCUUUUGUCGACCAUUCGAGAUUUCGAGAUUUCGUUCUGUCUUUUUCUCAAGAGGAGGAAAAACAAAGUUUUUUUAAAGACGAUAAAGCUAAGUUGCAAGAAUCUUAAUACGAUAAUUACGUAUAAAGAAAAAAAUAACAUAAAAUUCAUCGAAUCGAUAUAUUUGUAUAUACACGAAUCUCGAAAUCUCGAAUAAUUAAUGCACAAUUAAUUAUAGAUCACGUAUAAUAAUCUAUAAUUGCAAAGACUAUCUCGUUUUCGCCUGAUCAUUCAUCUAAUUGCAACUCGAUCAAAAAAUCGAAUAAAUUCGACUCGAAUUAUCGAAAACCAAUUAAUUAUUCAAAUUUAUGUCGAAUGGUCGCGUAUUUUUUGGCAAAAAAUAAAUAAUGAGAUCACUUUGGGAUAAUUUCUAUUUAACGAUUCGUCUCGAAACGAGCCGAAAUGAUUAUCUUGCGACACGAUAGAAAAUGCGGGCAAGGUUAUUCCUUUUCCAAUGCACGCCACAAUGGAUACGCGGAACCACAAUGAUCGGAUGUAUGUACACGUAUGUAUAGCUCGAGAAGUAGCACACGUUCGAACAGGAUAGUUAGACCAAGAUACUUUCCAAUGAUUUCUGGAUACUGCGCACUCGAAGUAAUUUUAAAAGACGAGAGUAAGAAAGAAAGAAAAAUUAUAGGGGAGAAAAAAAAAAUCGAAAUCAAAAACAAGAUAUCUCUAUCUACGAUCAAAUAAUCGGGGAUAAGAAAAUUUGGUAUCGAUUUCAAGCAUUCGAAAUGAUUUUUUUUUCUCUUUUUUACCGAGAGAAUAAAUGAAAUGCCGGUCGAUCGGUAUCGUUGUUUGCGUCGUUCGCUCGAGUUGGCCGACCUUCACCCGGCUACCGUCGCCAUUAUGCUCGUUACACACCGGUCGUGGUUGUAAUUUACGGUUAACCGAACGGAAACCGAAGGGGAGCGACCGCGUUGUAGUAACGAGGUCGUCGUAUAUGCGAUAUUAACGAACAAGCUACUCACUUUUUCUCUUUCUAUUUCUCUUUUAUCAUCCGUACAAAUUCGCCCCUUGAUUUUAAAUUAUACAUUUUAAAUAUACGUAGCUGCACGUACACAAGCACGAUAAAGAUAGUGGCGAGAAAUGAAAUUGGCAAGAGAAGCUCUUUCAUCAAUCGAACCGACCGAAAUCGUUUCGAGAAAAAUCUUUUUCAAUUAAACGGCUCACGAAAAAGCUUGCGAUCUUAAAUCGAAAAACUGUUUCCUCUUAAGUAUACUUUUCGAACGCGAGGGAAUAUAUUCGAAAAAUGCGUCCGACGGUAGAAAAUCGUGACCUAUAGAUCAUCGUGAUCGCCCUUCUCCUCUCGUGCUCGACUCCCUGCUACUCCGUGUCGUAAUAUCUCGACAGCUAUACCUUCACCUUUCCUACCAGUUUUCUUGCAAAAAAAAAAAAAAACUCGCAGUCCUUCCCGACCUAUACAUCAUUCUAGGGAAAAGCGCCACGAGAUUUACUCGAUUCCUUAAAAAUAUAACGAAAAAUAAACACUCCUUUUUUUUUCAGAAUCAGAAAACGCGCGAAUCUAGAACAAAGAGAUCUCGCUUUUCUUUCCUCGCCGCGGCGAGUUAGAAAUCGAGUCUCGAAAUUUUUCUUUUUUUCCCCUACCAGACCGCGCGUAACGAUAUCUUUAUAUUAUUCGAAGGAAAGAGAGAGAGACAGGGAGCAUACACGGUUGGUAUUCGGGCCCUUUUGUAACGGGCACACGAGUAACACACAGCCUGUCUAAAUACGGUACCGGUAAAUAACGACGGCUGGAAUUUCUCGUUAUUUCUCAAGAGCUACGGCUACGGCCGUCUGGGUGGCUUCCACCGAGUUGUAGAACACGAUCCACGGGAAGAGAGUUAUCGAUCGGGAUGAGCGGGCAACGCGCCGCCGGGCGGACAAUGAUCACAGCGACCUUGAGAAGAAGGGAACGUUUGUUCGUUGAUGUUGGCGCGCGCGGCAUACCAUCGUAUUUUCUCACCCGUGAAGAUCGACCAGCUUUUUUCCUCGCUUAGAACGAGAGAGAGGGAGAUAGGGGAGGGAGCCGUGACGAUCCAAGCCGAGAUCGUUCCGCCGACCGUUCCGAUCGACCGACCCGAUAAAUAUAAUUAAGGAGACGGGAAGCUCGAGAACCCUCGACACGGAAUGCCACGACCGUUUUAUCAUUCGCUGAAUCUGUAUCGCCGAUAAUCGUUCCACACGGGGAUGUUAAUAAACGUUAAUGCCGCGUUAAAAAUUUCAAUUUCACCGAUCGCGAGUCGAACAGAUGGGACGAGCUAAUUAACGAUCGUUCGUUCCGUUUCUGGAAAUUCUUUUAACUUAAGGGACGGAAAAUCGAAGCUGUUGUUCGAACGUCUUUCGAAGAGCAUUGUUAUGCUAAGUGAAACGAGACACCGUCUCAUCACGGAGGGAAGCAGUAAUGGCAUGCCCGUUUCUGUCACGUUGCCUCGACUCCACUCCAACCAGAGCCAAGUCUCCAAACAGAGGAAGAGGGAUUCGACCGAAUCACCGCCAUUUCGUAUUUCACGCUCCAGAAGAAUCGCGUAGAAGAACAUAUUCAACCCCCUUCUCGAGCGGAAUACUUAAUUAAAACUCUACGAUAAAUUCUGCCUAUACGAUACAUUACAACGAAUUAUAUCCGAAUCUAACUUUAUUUUUUGUUUACAAUAAUCUAUAAACGAGGAUUUGGAUAUCGAUCAUUCGAGUGAAAGUUUCCAAUAAUUUCAUACAAAUCACAGUAUGCAUCACAGACGUUAAAAAUAUCGCGUAUAAGUUUGGACGUACUUCGAGGAUAUCGAAAUGGAUUAGGUAAAUGGUUGGUGCACUGGUACGACCCGCACGGGGACAAAGAUAGGCCGUAACGUACCUGCCUAUUAUAAGGGUAUAAAUAUCGAGUGGCAAGUGCAUAGCGGACGGUCUCUGCAUUCUCAGUCCGGCCACAAGCUAUUUUCAACCCACGCUAAACUCUCUCUCUCUCUCUUUCUCGCUCGCUCGCUCGCUCCGCACCGCGAUCCCCCCACUUCUCCCCGCGUAUUCUAAGACGCGACCCAUAAUACCAUAAAAAGCGUCCCUGCCCGCGCUCCGCCGCUGUCCCACGAGGCCACGAAAUAUCUUUCUGCCGUUUGAAUUUGUUCCUCCGUCCGAUCCGCUUGUUAAAACUCGAAUCGACAUGCCGCCCCUUAACCGUUUCCUUACCUAAACAACCUUCGCUCGUCUGUUUCCCUCCGCAGCUGGCUGGACAAUUGGCCACGAUGUAUCGAAAGUAUCCACGAAUCGUAUGAUAUUUCUAUUAGCCAUUCUCGUUUUUUCUUACACGUUUCAACGAGAUACGGUCGCGGCUCGUCGGCUACCCCGUUUUUCCACGCGCAAGAAAUUCGCUUAGCCUUCGACAAUGAGUCACGCCCGAGAAAUUUAUCCCUAUUCCAAAGUGCGAUGAUCAACAAAACGGGAUAUAAAAUAAACGGAGAAAGGUAUAAUGUACGGUGUCCAAGUGGACACAGAUUUUAGUUUUUGAAUUAUUACGAAUUAUUACGAAUUUAGAUGCAUCGUUAGGAAAUGUUAUUACGAUUGAAGAUUGCCUAAUAAAUAUUGCGAUACUUUUAAAAAAUUAUUUCUACUCUCAAAUAUUAUUCUCGAAUAAACAACAAACUUUGGAAUUCCUUUUAAUCGCGGAUAAAUAUUUUAUUUCUCCGUCCAGAAGAGAAAAGAGCAUUUCGCAAUGCUCGAAACGAAACUCGAGGAAUUUAACGAAAAAUCUUAGAAAGCGUCGUGUCGAAAAUAAAAUACACGCGCGGGGGGGAGGGGUAAAUUAUCGAUUACGCGUGCAAAAUCUCUUUAAUCGGCGAGACGAAUAUCGUUUCAACCUAUUUACAUUGGCGAGUGUAUACACCCUGUACGCCGAUCACAGUCAUAAUCAUAAUAUUUAUACCGAGGCCCCCCCCUUUCUUGCGAAAGUUUAUGGCGUCGCUCUGGUGAUUCGUGACCCGAGAUUCUCGAAUAAUGUACCUACACGAUCAAAGAUCCAGCUCUCCUUGUCGUUGUCCAACGAGUUUUUCCUUCUGACGCGUUCGUCAAAACGAAAAGAGAAAAAAUGGAAAAAACGAAUCCGAAUAAUUGAUCGUUCCGUUCUGCGUGUACGAUUUUCUCCGCGAUUCUUACGUAAUCGUAAAAAAACUUUUUCAAGGAAUCGCCACGGUUUGUUUGCAUUCCUUUCCUUAACACAACACGAGUACGAGUUUAUAUCGCGGUUUCGCGUGCAUUCACGAGCUGGUCAAACAAUUUGAAAAGGAUCGUUUCCUCGAAUCACAAAUUAAUAUCAAUUCUUGGGGCGCGCGCGAGAGAGAAAAAAAAAGAGAGAGAGAAGAAAGAAAAGAAUCACGAAAGAUGGACAGCCGUUUUUUUUUUUUUUUAAAUUGGAAACUGAAGCGAGGCGCGCAUCAUCGAUUCGCAAUUUAUCAUUCGAUCGAAACGAGACGAGUGAAUUCAUCCGUUUUACAAUGUCCCCCAGGAGGAAAGUCUUUUGUUCUUUAAUGGAGGUAAAGUAAAUUGGAUAGCAAUAGAGUUAAUGUUUUAAUAGCCUGGGCAAUAAAAACUAAUGUUUGGAAAUUGAUACUUCUGGUAAUAUUAGCAGGUAGAAACAAACAACGGGAGGCUAAAACGGGACGGGAGAUUUCAGAUAUUUAAACAUUUAAUCCUUUGUCAAAAAGAAAACUUUUCUAACUAACUCUUUGUAUAUUGUAAUCCUUUCUUUUAUAUUUUUCCCAACUAAGGACAAUUGCAAUAAUAUUUCAUGACACAGUUACAUGGCGUAUUUUCAAUAUACCAAAAAAAAAAAAAUAAAAUAAAAUAA